GGGGGUAUAGCUCAGUGGUAGAGUGCUUAAUUACAAAUCAAGUGAUCCUUGAUUCAAGCCCAAGUGCCCUCU
This is a non-coding RNA of Mauremys mutica (yellowpond turtle), 72 nucleotides long. NCBI's taxonomy places the organism in Eukaryota, Metazoa, Chordata, Testudines, Geoemydidae. The record is from the annotation of a RefSeq genome assembly.